Molecule: long non-coding RNA, 351 nt
Filed under: Felis catus (domestic cat)
Lineage: Eukaryota; Metazoa; Chordata; Mammalia; Carnivora; Felidae
Description: lncRNA (ENSFCAG00000043565.2)
Source: RNAcentral
CUCUCCGCGGCGGCGGCGGCGGCAGGGGCUGAGGGCACAGCCAGCGGGCGGCGCGCCGCGGACUCCAAGGCAGCCCGCGGAAAGAAUCGUGAAUAUGACUGGGAAGUGACAGUCGCCCAUCUUUCGCACCUAGAGAACUGUCCUCGGGAUCUACAGAGAGGUUGGUUGUCCGACUUACUAACGUGGAGAGAAUACCUUGGCUUUGCGUGGGAGACACAGCUACUGGGCGAAGCUCUACGGAGAUCCACAUUGUGUGGCGGCAAAAGCUGAUUUAAAGAUAAAAUUGAGUACUGCAGAGAUACUGUGAUUCGCCCAAGGAGCCAUACCUGGUAAGUAGAGAAAGAAGAAACA